GAAGAAGUGACCACAAAGUCCGGCGGACAGUGUAGGUUAGGAAGCACUAACUACUACUGCCGGUCUGAUCGGCCAGAUUCUUCGAGCCCACCCAGGUGCCCUCCCGGUCUCCUUCUCCCCUUCAUCUGCCAAAUACUACGGUGCCUGAAUCGUAGGUGCGCCGGCACUGGACUGGGGCCCGGAAAGGCAGCCCCCCUUCUCGGCUCCUCAUGCUGUCACUCCUGCCCAGGCGGUUCCAAACCCAGCUCACGAGGUGGCUCCCUCUCUGCCCCAGGCUGGGUGUGCUCCACGCUUCCCAGGGACUGACUUCCCAGGGGAGGGGAUGUGGAGAGAGCCCCUGUCCACGCCAGCCACCCCUUCGGAGAAGGUCACCCAGCCAGAAACGGACUCAUCUCUCUGCUUCACCGCCUGCCGGGAUAUGGUGACACUCAGACGCGGGAUGGGCGUGGAAACUCGUGGACAGGUCGGCCCGGAUGCGCCCGAAGAGCGUUCCCAGGCCGGGAGCGCCCUUGCUUUGGAGGAGUUUCCUUCUCUCCUCACCUUGUGCAUCUGGCCGUCCAUCAAACUACUUCGCGGGAGUGGUU
This is a long non-coding RNA of Suricata suricatta (meerkat), 584 nucleotides long. RefSeq lists it as uncharacterized. The record is from RefSeq and is a predicted model, not a curated record. The transcript is spliced from 3 exons. Lineage: Eukaryota; Metazoa; Chordata; Mammalia; Carnivora; Herpestidae.